RNAcentral lists this long non-coding RNA (462 nucleotides) under Olea europaea (common olive). RNAcentral describes it as "long non-coding RNA (OEUR_LNC011911)". The record is from RNAcentral. Lineage: Eukaryota; Viridiplantae; Streptophyta; Magnoliopsida; Lamiales; Oleaceae.
UUUGUGCUGGAUGUUUGAAGUAAUUGGAGUAGGAUUAGGACAGAGAGACAUUCAAGGAGGAAGGUCUCUCUAAACAUGAUUUUCGAUUGCUGGGCAAUGACUUGCGUGUGUGUGUGGAUAGAAACUACUAGGGGAAAGACUAACCUAUGCUUCUUAAACUAAGGCUCAGCGUACUGCAAGGGCAAGACUAGUCUUUUUCAUCAUGUGUGAAUGCUCGAGUCUUCUUUCCAUGGACUCGUGAUAUACAGGGAUUUGUAACCAUCAGAAAGAGACACUGAAGCUAUGACCAAAUCAACCUUCUGGUGGUAUUUUGGAAAGCAAUACGUAGUUUCUGCUAAUCAAUUAUUACAGCAGUCAAUUCAAAUGACAACUUCACCAAGGAAAAGCCUAGGCCACAAAGCUUUCGUUUCCCAACAGUUAUUUGAAAUAAAUUUUGUUCUAGUGACUUGAUCAAAACAAAUU